This 37-nucleotide small RNA is filed under the name Arabidopsis thaliana (thale cress). RNAcentral describes it as "ATSL103610". The record is from RNAcentral. Lineage: Eukaryota; Viridiplantae; Streptophyta; Magnoliopsida; Brassicales; Brassicaceae.
AAAAAAAACAGAAAAAAAUCGAGUUGAGCUUCGCAAU